This 1714-nucleotide long non-coding RNA is filed under the name Junco hyemalis (dark-eyed junco). RNAcentral's name for it is "lncRNA (ENSJHYG00000008651.1)". The record is from RNAcentral. Lineage: Eukaryota; Metazoa; Chordata; Aves; Passeriformes; Passerellidae.
AAAACCCCAAAUUCGUUUCCCUUGACGGCGCCUUCAGAUGAGAUCCACGACGGGAUGAACCUGGAGCUCUACUACCAAUAGAACCCACCAGUAUAAACCAGUACAACCCAGUCCGGACCAGUGCAGCCAGCCCAGCGCUACCAGUAUAUCCCAGUAUAUCCCAGUCCCCUCCCCCAUUUCCGGCCCGGCCCCGUUUGUUGAUCAAUAAAGGCGAUUUUGGGGCCUCCGGGCGAUUUUUGGCAUUUCCCGGCCACGUUCCAGAGCUUGUGUCGCGAUUUUAAGGAGAAAUCCCGGUCUUGUGUCGCGAUAUCGCGAUUUGAGGCAAUACUGGGGGGUUGUGUCGCGAUAUCGCGGUUUUAAGGCCACAUUGAGGGGUUUUGUGGCGAUAUCGCGAUUUUAUGGUGCCAUAUCGCGAUGUUUCCCACGGGGGUACCCGAGCCUGGGCACGCGGAGCUCCCGGCAGGGAUAAACCCCGCGGUUUGUGGGGAUCGCCGGCGAUACGGGGGAGAAUCGCGACAGAGGCUCGGAGCAGGCGCUGCUCGGGGCAGCCCCGUCGUCAUGGUAACGGUGGCUUUUUAAUCAGGCGCCUCGCAGGGCAGCCCCGUCACCAUGGCAGCGGGGACCUUCCUUAGGGGCGACGUGUUGCUAUGGUAACGGCGGGUCUCCAAUCAGGCGCCGAACGGGGCAGCCCUGUUGCCAUGGCAGCGGGGGGCUUCCCAUGUGGCCGGCGCGCAGUAUGGCGGCGUCCAUGGCGAGCGCGGGAACGGGUGAGGGAGGCGGGGGAGCCGCGGGCGGCAACGGGAGCAGGAACGGGGAGCGGGAAUGGGAACCGGGAACUGGAGCGGGAACGGGAAUGAGAACCGGGAGUGGGAACGGGAAUGGAACCCGGGAACGGGAGAGGGAACGGGACCCGAGCAGCGCCUCCGUCUUCCCUCAGGACCGCGCUGAGCGCGGGGUCCCGGAGCCGGUACCGGGCAGCGGAGCUGGGACCGCCCGGGAAUGGCGGAGGGGCCGGGACGGGCCAGGACGAGGCCCCGGCUCCGCCCUCCCGAGGUUCCCGCGCCUCCUUCCUGCAGGUGAGUCCAGGAGCUGGAUCCCACAAAUCACUGGGAUCCAAUGGAUCAUCGGGAUCAAGGUCCCAUGGGUCCCACAAAUCACCAGGAUCCGGAUCCCAUGGAUCCCACAAAUCACCAGGAUCCAGAUCCAGUGGAUCCCACAAAUCACCAGGAUCCGGAUCCAGUGGAUCCCACAAAUCACCAGGAUCCGGAUCCAGUGGAUCCCACAAAUCACCAGGAUCCGGAUCCAGUGGAUCCCAUGGAUCUCCGGGAUCAGCUGGACGAGCUGGACGAGCUGGAUGCAGAAAUCCUGGGAAUGGCCAGAGCUGGGUCCAGAACGGGGAAACGCGGCGGGAAGGGGCCGGGCCCCCAAAAAGGUACCGGGAAUUCUCUUGGGAUCGACCCCAAUCCUGUGGGAUCGACCCCAAUCCCAUGGGAUCAAACCCCAUUCCAUGGGAUCAACCCCAUUGCUGAGGGAUCGACCCCAAUCCUGAGGGAUCCACCCCAUUGCUGUGGGAUCGACCCCAUUUUAUGGGAUCAAUCCCAUUCCUUGGGAUCAACCCCAAUCCCACGGGAUCAACCCUGGGAUCAACCCCAAUCCUGUGGGAUCACCCCAUUGCUGUGGGAUCAACCCCAUUCCAUGGAUCGACCCCAGUCCC